RNAcentral lists this transfer RNA (73 nucleotides) under Pelodiscus sinensis (Chinese soft-shelled turtle). It matches the Rfam family "tRNA". Rfam says of the family: Transfer RNA (tRNA) molecules are approximately 80 nucleotides in length. Their secondary structure includes four short double-helical elements and three loops (D, anti-codon, and T loops). Further hydrogen bonds mediate the characteristic L-shaped molecular structure. tRNAs have two regions of fundamental functional importance: the anti-codon, which is responsible for specific mRNA codon recognition, and the 3' end, to which the tRNAs corresponding amino acid is attached (by aminoacyl-tRNA synthetases). tRNAs cope with the degeneracy of the genetic code in two manners: having more than one tRNA (with a specific anti-codon) for a particular amino acid; and 'wobble' base-pairing, i.e. permitting non-standard base-pairing at the 3rd anti-codon position. The record is from Rfam by way of RNAcentral. Lineage: Eukaryota; Metazoa; Chordata; Testudines; Trionychidae.
GCACCAAAGGCUCAGCUGACUAAAGCACCUACCUUAUAAACAGGAGAUCCUGGGUUCAACUCCCAGUGGUGCC